GGAAAGUUGUCCGAGUGGUCGAUGGUGCACGCUUGGAAAGCGUGUGUGCGUUAAUAGCGUACCGGGGGUUCAAAUCCCCCACUUUCCG
This 88-nucleotide transfer RNA is filed under the name Spirochaetes bacterium GWE1_32_154. Its description in RNAcentral is "tRNA-Ser". It matches the Rfam family "tRNA". Rfam says of the family: Transfer RNA (tRNA) molecules are approximately 80 nucleotides in length. Their secondary structure includes four short double-helical elements and three loops (D, anti-codon, and T loops). Further hydrogen bonds mediate the characteristic L-shaped molecular structure. tRNAs have two regions of fundamental functional importance: the anti-codon, which is responsible for specific mRNA codon recognition, and the 3' end, to which the tRNAs corresponding amino acid is attached (by aminoacyl-tRNA synthetases). tRNAs cope with the degeneracy of the genetic code in two manners: having more than one tRNA (with a specific anti-codon) for a particular amino acid; and 'wobble' base-pairing, i.e. permitting non-standard base-pairing at the 3rd anti-codon position. Lineage: Bacteria; Pseudomonadati; Spirochaetota. The record is from RNAcentral. RNAcentral also lists the same sequence under 4 other names.